This 472-nucleotide ribosomal RNA is filed under the name uncultured bacterium. RNAcentral describes it as "bacterial SSU rRNA". It matches the Rfam family "Bacterial small subunit ribosomal RNA", at positions 28 to 507 of the family's 1533-position model. The record is from RNAcentral.
GAUGAACGCUGGCGGCGUGCCUAAUACAUGCAAGUCGAACGCGAAGGCUUGAAGCCUUCGGGCGGAGGGCCGAGUAGAGUGGCGAACGGGUGAGGAACACGUAGGUGACCUGCCCCGGAGAGGGGGAUAACCGUCGGAAACGGCGGCUAAUACCCCAUAAGCUCACGCGAGUUAGAGGGCGUGUGAGAAAGCUCCGGCGCUCCGGGAGGGGCCUGCGGCCCAUCAGCUAGUUGGUAGGGUAAAGGCCUACCAAGGCGAAGACGGGUAGGGGGCCUGAGAGGGUGGUCCCCCACAUGGGAACUGAGACACGGUCCCAACUCCUACGGGAGGCAGCAGUAAGGAAUAUUGCACAAUGGGCGCAAGCCUGAUGCAGCAACGCCGCGUGCCCGAGGACGGCCUUCGGGUUGUAAAGGGCUUUUCUGGCUGACGAGGAAGGACGGUAGGCCAGGAAUAAGCGUCGGCUAACUACGUG